AAUUGUUCACAAUGGGCGCAAGCCUGAUGACGCAAUGCCGCGUGGAGGAUGAAGGUCUUCGGAUUGUAAACUCCUGUUGCCAGGGACGAAUGGCUCCGACCUAAUACGUCGGAGAAUGACGGUACCUGGUGAGGAAGCCCCGGCUAACUCCGUGCCAGCAGCCGCGGUAAUACGGAGGGUGCGAGCGUUGUCCGGAAUCACUGGGCGUAAAGGGCGCGUAGGCGGCCUGAUAAGUAGGGGGUGAAAUCCUGCGGCUUAACCGCAGGGCUGCCUUCUAAACUGUCAGGCUCGAGCACAGUAGAGGCAGGUGGAAUUCCCGGUGUAGCGGUGGAAUGCGUAGAGAUCGGGAAGAACAUCAGUGGCGAAGGCGGCCUGCUGGGCUGUUGCUGACGCUGAGGCGCGACAGCGUGGGGAGCAAAC
RNAcentral lists this ribosomal RNA (420 nucleotides) under uncultured bacterium. RNAcentral describes it as "bacterial SSU rRNA". It matches the Rfam family "Bacterial small subunit ribosomal RNA", at positions 360 to 773 of the family's 1533-position model. The record is from RNAcentral.